GAUGAACGCUGGCGGCGCGCCUAACACAUGCAAGUCGAACGGUUAAAGCACCUUCGGGUGUGUAUAAAGUGGCGAACGGCUGAGUAACACGUGGGCAACCUGCCCCUCGCACCGGGAUAGCCUCGGGAAACCGUGGUUAAUACCGGAUACUCCGCGACCCCCGCAUGGGGGACGCGGGAAAGCCCAGACGGCGAGGGAUGGGCCCGCGGCCUGUUAGCUUGUUGGCGGGGUAGUGGCCCACCAAGGCGAUUAUGGGUAGCCGGGUUGAGAGACCGACCGGCCAGAUUGGGACUGAGACACGGCCCAGACUCC
RNAcentral lists this ribosomal RNA (312 nucleotides) under uncultured Coriobacteriaceae bacterium. Its description in RNAcentral is "bacterial SSU rRNA". It matches the Rfam family "Bacterial small subunit ribosomal RNA", at positions 28 to 339 of the family's 1533-position model. The record is from RNAcentral. Lineage: Bacteria; Bacillati; Actinomycetota; Coriobacteriia; Coriobacteriales; Coriobacteriaceae.